AGAGUUUGAUCAUGGCUCAGAACGAACGCUGGCGGCGUGCUUAAGACAUGCAAGUCGAACGAGAAAGUACCUUCGGGUGCGAGUAGAGUGGCGCACGGGUGAGUAACGCGUGGAUAAUCUACCUCGAAGCCUGGAAUAACAUUUGGAAACGAAUGCUAAUACCGGAUAAGCCUACGUUCCCUCGGGAUUGUAGGAAAAGGUGGCCUCUCCUUGGAAGCUAUCACUUUGAGAUGAGUCUGCGUUCCAUUAGCUUGUUGGUGGGGUAACGGCCUACCAAGGCGGCGAUGGAUAGCUGGUCUGAGAGGAUGAUCAGCCACACUGGAACUGAGACACGGUCCAGACUCCUACGGGAGGCAGCAGUCGGGAAUCUUGGGCAAUGGGCGAAAGCCUGACCCAGCAACGCCGCGUGAGUGAUGAAGGCCCUAGGGUCGUAAAGCUCUGUCAGAAGGGAAGAAGUUAGUUGGCUUAAUACGCCAGGUGAUUGACGGUACCUUCAAAGGAAGCUCCGGCUAACUCCGUGCCAGCAGCCGCGGUAAUACGGAGGGAGCAAGCGUUGUUCGGAAUCACUGGGCGUAAAGCGAGUGUAGGUUGUUAGAUAAGUAGGAUGUGAAAUCCCAGGGCCCAACCCUGGAACUGCACCCUAAACUGUCUGGCUAGAAUCCCGGAGAGGAAAGCGGAAUUCCGAGUGUAGAGGUGAAAUUCGUAGAUAUUCGGAGGAACGCCAGAGGCGAAGGCGGCUUUCUGGACGGUGAUUGACACUGAGACUCGAAAGCGUGGGGGAGCAAACAGGAUUAGAUACCCUGGUAGUCCACGCCGUAAACGUUGAGUGCUAGUCGUCGCGGGUAUUGACCCCUGCGGUGACAAAGCUAACGCAUUAAGCACUCCGCCUGGGAAGUACGGCCGCAAGGCUAAACUCAAAUGAAUUGACGG
This 930-nucleotide ribosomal RNA is filed under the name uncultured bacterium. RNAcentral's name for it is "bacterial SSU rRNA". It matches the Rfam family "Bacterial small subunit ribosomal RNA", at positions 8 to 916 of the family's 1533-position model. The record is from RNAcentral.